CCCCUUCUAUCUCUACCUUCAACUGUAAAAAAGAAAAAGAAAACUUCUCGUUUUCUUUCUCUGACGCUAUAACGUGUUUCGUUUUCUCUCUCUAGAAAUGGGAACAGCUAUCCUCCGUUCCCACGAUUGCCUCCAAGGUCGCUUUCUCCGUAAUGAAGCCUUCGCCAUAGCUACGUCACGCGUAGCGUCGCGAAGAAACUCUAACCCUAAUAACAAACAUGCCUUCGCCUCCUCCGCCAAUCAAAUACGCCGCCGGAAGCGGAGUCCGGUCAUUGAUCGAGAUCGCCAUCGAUCCUCCGACCGAUCGACGGAGGAUUCUCCGUCCUCGGCGAACCUCGUCAUGGGACAAGUUAAGAUCCUGAAGCGGGGCGAGAAUUUGAGCCUGCUGAACAAUCAUACCGAGGUUAGAUCGAAGAGGGAGAUGGGCCUGGAUUUGUUACUGGGCUCCACGGUCCGAUUGGGGCCCGAUCCUUUAACCGUGAAGAAGCAGAUUAGGGUUUCGGAUCCGAACAACGGCGUGUACGCGGGAUCGGCGUUCGUUUCGUCGCCGCAUCCGAGUUCCGUUCCGGUGCCGGGAUUUUUAGGACGUAACGGCGCGGCCACCAGUGAUUUGCGGCGGUUGCUGCGACUCGAUUUGGAAUGAUUAGUUCGAUGAUUUCGGUGUUUGCUUAAUAUUUGUCUUCUACUUUGGAAUGAUUAGUUGUUGGUGUAUGAUGAGUGCCCGUAUGGUCUCUGAUGCGCUUCCUUUAUUUUUUCAAGAGGAUAGCCGCAGGGUUCGGGCACCUGAAGAAGAAGCGGAGAAAGCAACGCGUGAAGGUGGUAGGAAGGAUAUUUGUGCUACAGUUUCUGAAAGGGAUCAGUGCUGUGAAGUGGCGUCAAGGAAACUCGGGACUAUCUCCUUAACUUCACCGCACUCCCACUUCCUCUGCAAUAGUAUGAUUGGGUGCCUAAGGAAGUGUUGCGGAACACCACACUGUCUCCACCAACGUAAAACACAAGAACAGGUUGGAGGGUUAAAUGUGGGGUGCAAGAAGCAAUUCCAUAAUUGUUUUCUGAGUCUCCCCAUUACACUACUUUUUCCUUUUCCAGAUACAAACACAUCUGAAGUGUUUUUGGACAUGGCGAGUCUAAUGAAGCAAAGGACAGCAGCUGAACAAGAUAGAGAGAAACAUGGCAGUGACCACUUUUUAAGAAAUAUUCAUCAAUCAUAAAUGCUCAAGAAUAAAAAUAUUAAAACUUAAUUUUAAAUUAUAAGUUUUAUAAUAGGCUUUAGAAUAUACUUUUUCUAAAAUUAUAAUGUGUAGUCUGGAAACACAUUUCGACAAUAUUUUUUAGAUAAAAUAAGAAUUUUGAAAACCCAUUUUUUUUAUUUUACCUAUAAAACGGAAAAAUUAUGGAAGUACCAAAAAACAAUUUCAAAAGGAUUAACAACCAGAAAAUCACAAGAAAAUUUCUAAAUGAUCCCUCUCCUCUCUUUGUGCUAUAGUUUGUCCAUAUAAUUUUAAAUUGGUUGAUAUCGAAUUGUUUUCCGAUUAUACAACUUGAAACUUUUUCUUGAGUCACAAUUUUUUUAAAUCAAUAAAGAUCUUAUUGUUCUUGUACAUAAAUACUAAAAAAAAUGUGUAGAUAAAUGUAACAUGAAAAAUGAAAAUUGCACACCAGAUGUAUAUUUAUGACAAUAUUAAAAUGAAAAGAUGAAUAUAAAAUUAAAAAAUAAUUGAGAUAUAUUUUAUUGAUAAUAUGAAAGAUAAUGUAGUUAGAAGUGAGGAUGAGAUAUUGCUUGUGUCUUUUGUUAUUAUUUUGUUCAGCUUAUAAGAAAAUACGUAUUAAUUUUGGACAGAGUAAUGAUACAUUUUUUCGUAUUAAUAUUUUAUAUUUUUUAUAAUAAAAAAAUUAUUAAUAAUGUGUAAACGGUAAAGUGUCAUAUUUGAUAAAAUGUAAAUAAAA
Molecule: RNA transcript, 1947 nt
Organism: Vigna angularis (adzuki bean)
Lineage: Eukaryota; Viridiplantae; Streptophyta; Magnoliopsida; Fabales; Fabaceae
Exons: 4
Source: RefSeq, a predicted model, not a curated record